Molecule: ribosomal RNA, 253 nt
Filed under: uncultured bacterium
Lineage: Bacteria
Description: partial 16S ribosomal RNA
Rfam family: Bacterial small subunit ribosomal RNA
Source: RNAcentral
UACGAGAGGUGCAAGCGUUAUUCGGAAUUAUUGGGCGUAAAGGGUGCGUAGACGGUAUAUUAAGUCAACUGUUAAAUUCUUCGGCCUAACCGGAGAUCAGCGGUAGAAACUGAUGUGCUAGAGGAUGGAAGAGAGAAGUGGAAUUCUCGGAGUAGCGGUAAAAUGCGUAGAUCUCGAGAGGAACACCGAUGGCGAAGGCAGCUUCUUGGUCCAUUCCUGACGUUGAGGCACGAAAGCGUGGGGAGCAAACAGG